RNAcentral lists this unclassified non-coding RNA (262 nucleotides) under plant metagenome. RNAcentral's name for it is "partial contains small subunit ribosomal RNA, internal transcribed spacer 1, and 5.8S ribosomal RNA". The record is from RNAcentral.
UUUCCGUUGGUGAACCAGCGGAGGGAUCAUUACCGAGUUUACAACUCCCAAACCCCUGUGUGAACGUUACCAAACUGUUGCCUCGGCGGGAAAUUCAUGCCCCGGGCGCGUCGCAGCCCCGGACCAAGGCGCCCGCCGGAGGACCAACCAAAACUCUUUUGUAUGUCCCUCGCGGACUUUUAUAAUUCUGAACCAUCUCGGCGCCCCUAGCGGGCGUUUCGAAAAUGAAUCAAAACUUUCAACAACGGAUCUCUUGGUUCUG